UACAGAGGUCCCAAGCGUUGUUCGGAUUCACUGGGCGUAAAGGGUGCGUAGGCGGUCAUUUAAGUCUGACGUGAAAUCUCCGGGCCUAACCCGGAAACUGCGUUGGAAACUAUCUGACUAGAGGAAUGGAGGGGAGACUGGAAUACUUGGUGUAGCAGUGAAAUGCGUAGAUAUCGGGAGGAACACCAGUGGCGAAGGCGAUCACCUGGGGUUGUUCUGACGCUGAGGAGCGAAAGCUAGGGGAGCAAACGGG
This 253-nucleotide ribosomal RNA is filed under the name uncultured bacterium. Its description in RNAcentral is "partial 16S ribosomal RNA". It matches the Rfam family "Bacterial small subunit ribosomal RNA", at positions 524 to 776 of the family's 1533-position model. The record is from RNAcentral.